Long non-coding RNA from Varroa destructor (honeybee mite), 884 nucleotides. RefSeq lists it as uncharacterized. NCBI's taxonomy places the organism in Eukaryota, Metazoa, Arthropoda, Arachnida, Mesostigmata, Varroidae. The record is from RefSeq and is a predicted model, not a curated record.
UCUGCCUCUACUGUCAAAGACAGAAUUGUAAUAUAUGACAAUAAUCCUUUGCAAAUUUUGUUUCAAAAAUGUAUGUAUUUAAAAAAUGGUUUAACAAUCGAUUAAUUGUUUAAACCGUUUUCGUUUGCUAACCAAGGAAAGUGUAAACCUCAUGGCGGUUAACAAAAAUUCGAUACUGAAACCUAACGAGGCGCAUCGACAGUGAUCCUGUAGGCGCAAUGUUUGGCCUUUAUUUAUGUGCAGCGAUUCGUAUCAUCCACCCAGGAGUCUCUGGAUUUGACCGUUCUUCCUCUAAGGCAGUGCUCUCUCUGUUAGUAGAACAGCGCGCCAGUCGUUCUGCUUUUUUCAAAAUGUGGAGAGGUCAUUUUGUCGCAAAUCUCGUUUUCGCUCAGGCCGUUACCAGAAGCUUAGGGCUUCGGCCUUUCAAAUGCUUUUUGUUGCUAACGAAGCAUGCCGAUAUGCUUUCUUUCGCCACAUUUGAGUUCUCACCCUUGCAGGAUUUACCUACCAACAUAUGAUGGAACUCAGGGUACAAACUGUAAAGUGUGCACAUAGGAUGUAAGUUCGAGAAUUAUGUAAAAAGGGACGUACGUAAAUUCUAGGUCCGUACAUUUGUACAGAGCAGGCCAGUCGGGGUUAUCCCGUUAUAAGUAAGAUCGGUCAAGUGACUCAACAACACAGGACACACCAAGUGCAUUUGCUGGACAGGGACGAUCAUGUUGUCGUAAGCAACUUCAAAGGACGCCAGAAAGCUAAAAAGAAACUGAAUCGUUGCCAAAUGGUUACGACUUUUUUUGUGGUUCCGUUGGAGAAAGCCCAGAUAAGUCUAGCCAGAUCAAGCCCGGUCAGACCUUCUACAGCUGGCAAGUCAUUGUUGUUAGACC